RNAcentral lists this ribosomal RNA (465 nucleotides) under uncultured bacterium. Its description in RNAcentral is "partial 16S ribosomal RNA". The stretch from base 52 to 465 matches the Rfam family "Bacterial small subunit ribosomal RNA", at positions 39 to 507 of the family's 1533-position model. The record is from RNAcentral.
GGGGGGGGGGGGGGGGGGGGGGGGGGGGGGGGGGGCGGGCGGGGGGGGGGGGUGGGGGGUGGGCGGGGGGGGGGCGGGGGAGUGACGCGGGGGUGACGUGCGCGUGACUGCGGGAGGGGUUCAGGAAGCUGGGGCUAGUACCGGAUAGGGAUGCGUGCUGCAUGGUGGGGGUUGGGACGCUUCGGCGGUUUGGGAGGGACUCGCGGCUUAUCAGCUUGGUGGUGGGGUAGGGGCUUACCAAGGCUUUGACGGGUAGCCGGCCUGAGAGGGCGACCGGCCACAUUGGGACUGAGAUACGGCCCAGACUCCUACGGGAGGCAGCAGUGGGGAAUAUUGCACAAUGGGCGGAAGCCUGAUGCAGCAACGCCGCGUGCGGGAGGACGGCCUUCGGGUUGUAAACCGCUUUCAGCAGGGGCGAAGCUUGUGGUGACGGUACCUGCAGAAGAAGCACCGGCUAACUACGUG